RNAcentral lists this non-coding RNA (21 nucleotides) under Caenorhabditis elegans. The record is from RNAcentral. Lineage: Eukaryota; Metazoa; Nematoda; Chromadorea; Rhabditida; Rhabditidae.
UUUGUUUGUUUUGCACCCUUG